Molecule: ribosomal RNA, 439 nt
Filed under: uncultured bacterium
Lineage: Bacteria
Description: partial 16S ribosomal RNA
Rfam family: Bacterial small subunit ribosomal RNA
Source: RNAcentral
CUACGGGGUGCAGCAGUGGGGAAUAUUGCACAAUGGAGGAAACUCUGAUGCAGCAACGCCGCGUGGAGGAUGACACUUUUCGGAGCGUAAACUCCUUUUAUAUAGGAAGAAGAUGACGGUACUAUAUGAAUAAGCGCCGGCUAACUCCGUGCCAGCAGCCGCGGUAAUAAGGAGGGCGCAAGCGUUACUCGGAAUCACUGGGCGUAAAGAGCGUGUAGGCGGAUUAAAAAGUCAGAAGUGAAAUCCUAUAGCUUAACUAUAGAACUGCUUCUGAAACUCUUAAUCUAGAAUGUGGGAGAGGUAGAUGGAAUUUCUGGUGUAGGGGUAAAAUCCGUAGAGAUCAGAAGGAAUACCGAUUGCGAAGGCGAUCUACUAGAACAUUAUUGACGCUGAGACGCGAAAGCGUGGGGAGCAAACAGGAUUAGAUACCCGCGUAGUC